GAGUUUGAUCCUGGCUCAGGAUGAACGCUAGCGGCAGGCUUAAUACAUGCAAGUCGUGGGGCAGCAGGUCUGUAGCAAUACAGGCGCUGGCGACCGGCAAACGGGUGCGGAACUCGUACACAACCUUCCUUUAAGUGGGGAAUAGCCCGGGGAAACCCGGAUUAAUACCCCGUAAUAUAAUGAAGUGGCAUCGCUUUAUUAUUAUAGCUCCGGCGCUUGAAGAUGGGUGUGCGACUGAUUAGGCAGUUGGCGGGGUGACGGCCCACCAAACCUACGAUCAGUAACUGGUGUGAGAGCACGACCAGUCACACGGGCACUGAGACACGGGCCCGACUCCUACGGGAGGCAGCAGUAAGGAAUAUUGGUCAAUGGACGCAAGUCUGAACCAGCCAUGCCGCGUGGAGGAUGAAGGUCCUCUGGAUUGUAAACUUCUUUUAUCUGGGAAGAAAUCCACAAAUUCUUUUGUGGUUGACGGUACCAGAUGAAUAAGCACCGGCUAACUCCGUGCCAGCAGCCGCGGUAAUACGGAGGGUGCAAGCGUUAUCCGGAUUCACUGGGUUUAAAGGGUGCGUAGGUGGGUUGGUAAGUCAGUGGUGAAAUCUCCAGGCUUAACUUGGAAACUGCCAUUGAUACUAUCAAUCUUGAAUACCGUGGAGAUCAGCGGAAUAUGUCAUGUAGCGGUGAAAUGCUUA
Molecule: ribosomal RNA, 692 nt
Filed under: uncultured soil bacterium
Lineage: Bacteria
Description: bacterial SSU rRNA
Rfam family: Bacterial small subunit ribosomal RNA
Source: RNAcentral